This is a non-coding RNA of Gadus morhua (Atlantic cod), 566 nucleotides long. The record is from the annotation of a RefSeq genome assembly. NCBI's taxonomy places the organism in Eukaryota, Metazoa, Chordata, Actinopteri, Gadiformes, Gadidae.
ACUUUUGGUGGAGGCACCAAACUCAUCGUUGACUUGGGAGUGGUGCAGCCCACGCUGAGCGUCCUCCCUCCCUCCAGAGUGGAGCUGGAGCAGGGCAGUGCUACACUAGUGUGUGUGGCCAGUGGGGGCUUCCCCUCAGACUGGAAGCUUGGCUGGAAGGUGGGGGGCAGCAGCAGGUCUGGGGGGGUGUCAGAUAGCCUGGGGAUCCUGGGGAAAGAUGGCCACUACAGCUGGAGCAGCACCUUGACCCUCCCUGCAGACCAGUGGAGGAAGGCGGGCUCAGUGAGCUGUGAUGCCAGUAAAAAUGGCCAGACGCAGCCUGUCACUCAAACCCUGAAUCCUGGAGAGUGUUCAGAGUAGAGAGGCUCCAGCAUGGAGGUACUGGAGGAUACAGAUCUCCUCUGACACGUCUGCUUUAUGUGUUUCUGUCUCAGGUGGCAAUGCAGCUUUAGAUGAUUUACAUUAAUAUAACUCGUCUUUGAUUCAUUAACGUUAUGCUUUCCGAUUUUUACCCGUUGCUUGUGUUGGUCACAUGUUGAACAUUAAAUAAAGAUGUAAAGAACACA